UUCAUAAGGAGAUUUUGUUUUUUCAUAUUUUUUUAUUUUUAUUCUUUUUAUUCAGCUCAAAUCCUAAUGUCAAUGACAACCUGCCGCCAAUGGAUACAUGUUAUCAAACAUAUGAGGUGGGAAGCUCAUCUUCAUCUACGUUGCUAGGGAUUCCUUCAAUGGAUGUACAGCGUCUUCUAUCUUCACCAACUAUUGAUCAAAGGUACCUAUGUUGUAUGAUGUUGGUUUUGCAGUAUGUGAUUCGUAUUUUCUAUAUGUCCUUUUUUUUUUUUUUUCUUAUGUUCUUUGUAAUGUCAGUUUCAAUGCAGAUAUGGUCAAUAUGCUUGAAGAUGUAUUCCCUGAAUGUAUAGAUGAAUGUAGAAUACCCGAUCCAUCUGAUUUUAUUUCUCCUGUACCUCCUCGUCGUCAUUUUCUUGGUCGAAUGGAUGUGAU
Molecule: long non-coding RNA, 432 nt
Filed under: Aquilegia coerulea
Lineage: Eukaryota; Viridiplantae; Streptophyta; Magnoliopsida; Ranunculales; Ranunculaceae
Description: long non-coding RNA (ACOE_LNC000073)
Source: RNAcentral